This 301-nucleotide ribosomal RNA is filed under the name uncultured bacterium. RNAcentral's name for it is "partial 16S ribosomal RNA". It matches the Rfam family "Bacterial small subunit ribosomal RNA", at positions 509 to 807 of the family's 1533-position model. The record is from RNAcentral.
CAGUCGCCACGGUAAUACGAAGGGGGCUAGCGUUGUUCGGAUUUACUGGGCGUAAAGGGCGCGUAGGCGGACUGAUAAGUCAGGGGUGAAAUCCCAAGGCUCAACCUUGGAACUGCCUUUGAUACUGUUUGUCUUGAGUUCGAGAGAGGUAAGUGGGACUGCGAGUGUAGAGGUGAAAUUCGUAGAUAUUCGCAAGAACACCAGUGGCGAAGGCGGCUUACUGGCUCGAUACUGACGCUGAGGCGCAAAAGCGUGGGGAGCAAACAGGAUUAGAGACCCGCGUAGUCCCUGUCUCUUAUAC